This 497-nucleotide ribosomal RNA is filed under the name uncultured bacterium. RNAcentral describes it as "partial 16S ribosomal RNA". It matches the Rfam family "Bacterial small subunit ribosomal RNA", at positions 28 to 507 of the family's 1533-position model. The record is from RNAcentral.
GAUGAACGCUGGCGGCGUGCCUAAUACAUGCGAGUCGAGCGAACGGACGAGAAGCUUGCUUCUCUGAUGUUAGCGGCGGACGGGUGAGUAACACGUGGAUAACCUACCUAUAAGACUGGGAUAACUUCGGGAAACCGUAGUUAAUACCGGAUAAUAUUUUGAACCGCAUGGUUCAAAAGUGAAAGACGGUCUUGCUGUCACUUAUAGAUGGAUCCGCGCUGCAUUAGCUAGUUGGUAAGGUAACGGCUUACCAAGGCAACGAUGCAUAGCCGACCUGAGAGGGUGAUCGGCCACACUGGAACUGAGACACGGUCCAGACUCCUACGGGAGGCAGCAGUAGGGAAUCUUCCGCAAUGGGCGAAAGCCUGACGGAGCAACGCCGCGUGAGUGAUGAAGGUCUUCGGAUCGUAAAACUCUGUUAUUAGGGAAGAACAUAUGUGUAAGUAACUGUGCACAUCUUGACGGUACCUAAUCAGAAAGCCACGGCUAACUACGUG